UACGUAGGGGGCUAGCGUUGUCCGGAUUUAUUGGGCGUAAAGAGUGUGUAGGCGGUCAGGUAGGUCUGCUGUGAAAACUCGAGGCUUAACCUCGAGAUGUCGGCGGAAACCAUCUGGCUAGAGUCCGGAAGAGGAGAGUGGAAUUCCUGGUGUAGCGGUGAAAUGCGCAGAUAUCAGGAAGAACACCCGUGGCGAAGGCGGCUCUCUGGGACGGUACUGACGCUGAGACGCGAAAGCGUGGGGAGCGAACAGG
RNAcentral lists this ribosomal RNA (253 nucleotides) under uncultured bacterium. Its description in RNAcentral is "partial 16S ribosomal RNA". It matches the Rfam family "Bacterial small subunit ribosomal RNA", at positions 524 to 776 of the family's 1533-position model. The record is from RNAcentral.